GAUGAACGCUAGCGGCAGGCUUAACACAUGCAAGUCGAGGGGCAGCACGAUGUAGCAAUACAUUGGUGGCGACCGGCGCACGGGUGCGUAACACGUAUGGAACUUACCCUUUACUGGAGGAUAGCCCGGAGAAAUCCGGAUUAAUACUCCAUAAUAAACGAGGUGGCAUCACCUUGUUUUGAAAGCUCCGGCGGUAAAGGAUGGCCAUGCGCACGAUUAGCUAGUUGGUGAGGUAAUGGCUCACCAAGGCUACGAUCGUUAGGGGGCCUGAGAGGGUUAUCCCCCACACUGGUACUGAGACACGGACCAGACUCCUACGGGUGGCUG
Molecule: ribosomal RNA, 327 nt
Filed under: uncultured Bacteroidota bacterium
Lineage: Bacteria; Pseudomonadati; Bacteroidota
Description: bacterial SSU rRNA
Rfam family: Bacterial small subunit ribosomal RNA
Source: RNAcentral